GCUGGAGGUAUCAGAAGUGCGAAUGCUGACAUAAGUAACGAUAAAGCGGGUGAAAAGCCCGCUCGCCGGAAGACCAAGGGUUCCUGUCCAACGUUAAUCGGGGCAGGGUGAGUCGACCCCUAAGGCGAGGCCGAAAGGCGUAGUCGAUGGGAAACAGGUUAAUAUUCCUGUACUUGGUGUUACUGCGAAGGGGGGACGGAGAAGGCUAUGUUGGCCGGGCGACGGUUGUCCCGGUUUAAGCGUGUAGGCUGGUUUUCCAGGCAAAUCCGGAAAAUCAAGGCUGAGGCGUGAUGACGAGGCACUACGGUGCUGAAGCAACAAAUGCCCUGCUUCCAGGAAAAGCCUCUAAGCAUCAGGUAACAUCAAAUCGUACCCCAAACCGACACAGGUGGUCAGGUAGAGAAUACCAAGGCGCUUGAGAGAACUCGGGUGAAGGAACUAGGCAAAAUGGUGCCGUAACUUCGGGAGAAGG
RNAcentral lists this ribosomal RNA (472 nucleotides) under Escherichia coli. RNAcentral describes it as "partial 23S ribosomal RNA". It matches the Rfam family "Bacterial large subunit ribosomal RNA", at positions 1272 to 1746 of the family's 2925-position model. Lineage: Bacteria; Pseudomonadati; Pseudomonadota; Gammaproteobacteria; Enterobacterales; Enterobacteriaceae. The record is from RNAcentral.